GACGAACGCUGGCGGCGUGCUUAACACAUGCAAGUCGAACGGUGAAGCGCCUUCCUUUUUGGUGGGUGUGGAUGAGUGGCGAACGGGUGAGUAACACGUGAGUAACCUGCCCCCUUCUUCUGGAUAACCGCAUGAAAGUGUGGCUAAUACGGGAUAUUCUGGGUCUGUCGCAUGAUGGGUCUGGGAAAGAUAUUGUUUCGGUGGGGGAUGGGCUCGCGGCCUAUCAGCUUGUUGGUGGGGUGAUGGCCUACCAAGGCGGUGACGGGUAGCCGGCCUGAGAGGGUGGACGGUCACGCUGGGACUGAGACACGGCCCUGACUCCUGCGGGAGGCAGCGGUGGGGAAUAUUGCACAAUGGGCGCAAGCCUGAUGCAGCGACGCCGCGUGCGGGAUGGAGGCCUUCGGGUUGUGAACCUCUUUCGCCAGUGAAGCAGGCCUGCCUCGUUUGUGGGUGGGUUGACGGUAGCUGGAGAAGAAGCGCCGGCUAACUACGUG
Molecule: ribosomal RNA, 494 nt
Filed under: uncultured bacterium
Lineage: Bacteria
Description: partial 16S ribosomal RNA
Rfam family: Bacterial small subunit ribosomal RNA
Source: RNAcentral